AACGAACGCUGGCGGCAUGCCUAGCACAUGCAAGUCGAACGAGACCUUCGGGUCUAGUGGCGCACGGGUGCGUAACGCGUGGGAACCUGCCCUUAGGUUCGGAAUAACUCCCCGAAAGGGGUGCUAAUACCGGAUAAUGUCUUCGGACCAAAGAUUUAUCGCCUUUGGAUGGGCCCGCGUUGGAUUAGCUAGUUGGUAGGGUAAAAGCCUACCAAGGCGACGAUCCAUAGCUGGUCUGAGAGGAUGAUCAGCCACACUGGGACUGAGACACGGCCCAGACUCCUACGGGAGGCAGCAGUGGGGAAUAUUGGACAAUGGGCGAAAGCCUGAUCCAGCAAUGCCGCGUGAGUGAUGAAGACCUUAGGGUUGUAAAGCUCUUUUACCCGGGAUGAUAAUGACAGUACCGGGAGAAUAAGCUCCGGCUAACUCCGUG
Molecule: ribosomal RNA, 433 nt
Filed under: uncultured bacterium
Lineage: Bacteria
Description: partial 16S ribosomal RNA
Rfam family: Bacterial small subunit ribosomal RNA
Source: RNAcentral